CACAGAGUUAGCCGGUGCUUAUUCUGCGAGUAACGUCCACUCAUCUUGGGUAUUAACCAAAAGAGCCUCCUCCUCGCUUAAAGUGCUUUACAACCAUAAGGCCUUCUUCACACACGCGACAUGGCUGGAUCAGGGCUCCCCCAUUGUCCAAUAUUCCCACUGCUGCCUCCCGUAGGAGUCUGGGCCGUGUCUCAGUCCCAGUGUGGCGGAUCAUCCUCUCAGACCCGCUACAGAUCGUCGCCUUGGUAGGCCUUUACCCACAACUAGCUAAUCCGACUUAGGCUCAUCUAUUAACGCAAGGUCACAAGUGAUCCCCUGCUUCCCCGUAGGGCGUAUGCGGUAUUAGCAUCCCUUCGAGAUGUUGUCCCCAUUAAUAGGCAGAUUCCUAAGUAUUACUCACCGUCGCGCUAGGUCAAUUACCGAAGCAAAUCUCCCCGCUCGACUUGCAUGUGUUAAAGCCUGCCGCCAGCGUUCAAUACUGAGCACGGAU
This 490-nucleotide ribosomal RNA is filed under the name uncultured Acinetobacter sp. RNAcentral describes it as "partial 16S ribosomal RNA". Lineage: Bacteria; Pseudomonadati; Pseudomonadota; Gammaproteobacteria; Moraxellales; Moraxellaceae. The record is from RNAcentral.